This 254-nucleotide long non-coding RNA is filed under the name Olea europaea (common olive). RNAcentral's name for it is "long non-coding RNA (OEUR_LNC001775)". Lineage: Eukaryota; Viridiplantae; Streptophyta; Magnoliopsida; Lamiales; Oleaceae. The record is from RNAcentral.
UCAAAAUCAACUAUCAUCGUUACCACUGGCAAUCACUGUAAACUGCAUCUCCGACGUCAGUGUAAACCAUCGGCUACAUCACUCCCUCUACUCUAAUAAUCUCAGCCAUCAAUUUCCUCUCUUCCACCGCCAAAUCCCUUAUGGGCUUCCCACAGAAAAUUUACUUUUUUUUAUAGGAAUAAAUAUUAGUCAUUGUAUUUUGGAGGAAUUUGUGUUGUUUUGACUUAUUUAUAAUGUUUUUGCUCAUUACCAGG